This 522-nucleotide ribosomal RNA is filed under the name uncultured bacterium. RNAcentral's name for it is "bacterial SSU rRNA". It matches the Rfam family "Bacterial small subunit ribosomal RNA", at positions 988 to 1509 of the family's 1533-position model. The record is from RNAcentral.
CCAGAGAACUUAGCAGAGAUGCUUUGGUGCCCUUCGGGAACUCUGAGACAGGUGCUGCAUGGCUGUCGUCAGCUCGUGUUGUGAAAUGUUGGGUUAAGUCCCGCAACGAGCGCAACCCUUAUCCUUUGUUGCCAGCGGUCCGGCCGGGAACUCAAAGGAGACUGCCAGUGAUAAACUGGAGGAAGGUGGGGAUGACGUCAAGUCAUCAUGGCCCUUACGAGUAGGGCUACACACGUGCUACAAUGGCGCAUACAAAGAGAAGCGACCUCGCGAGAGCAAGCGGACCUCAUAAAGUGCGUCGUAGUCCGGAUUGGAGUCUGCAACUCGACUCCAUGAAGUCGGAAUCGCUAGUAAUCGUAGAUCAGAAUGCUACGGUGAAUACGUUCCCGGGCCUUGUACACACCGCCCGUCACACCAUGGGAAUGGGUUGCAAAAGAAGUAGGUAGCUUAACCUUCGGGAGGGCGCUUACCACUUUGUGAUUCAUGACUGGGGUGAAGUCGUAACAAGGUAAGCGUACGUGU